RNAcentral lists this ribosomal RNA (588 nucleotides) under uncultured archaeon. Its description in RNAcentral is "bacterial SSU rRNA". It matches the Rfam family "Archaeal small subunit ribosomal RNA", at positions 25 to 621 of the family's 1478-position model. The record is from RNAcentral.
CACUGCUAUCGGGGUUCGAUUAAGCCAUGCGAGUCGAGAGGGUUCAGACCCUCGGCGCACUGCUCAGUAACACGUGGAUAACCUACCCUGAGGAGGGGGAUAACCCCGGGAAACUGGGGAUAAUACCUCAUAGGUUUCAGAUGCUGGAAUGCUCUGAAACCGAAAUGCUCCGGCGCCUCAGGAUGGAUCUGCGGCCGAUUAGGUUGUUGUUGGGGUAACGGCCCAACAAGCCCGUCAUCGGUACGGGUUGUGAGAGCAAGAGCCCGGAGAUGGAUUCUGAGACACCAAUCCAGGCCCUACGGGGCGCAGCAGGCGCGAAACCUUUACAAUGCGAGCAAUCGUGAUAAGGGAACCCCGAGUGCCUGAAACCAGGCUGUUCAGGUGUUUAAAAAGCACCUGGAGAAAGGGCCGGGCAAGACCGGUGCCAGCCGCCGCGGUAAUACCGGCGGCUCGAGUGGUGGCCGCUAUUAUUGGGCUUAAAGCGUUCGUAGCUGGGUUGUUAAGUCUCUUGGGAAAUCUCACGGCUCAACCGUGAGGCGACUAAGAGAUACUGGCAAUCUUGGGACCGGGAGAGGUGAGAGGUACUCC